Molecule: long non-coding RNA, 466 nt
Filed under: Bos taurus (domestic cattle)
Lineage: Eukaryota; Metazoa; Chordata; Mammalia; Artiodactyla; Bovidae
Description: long non-coding RNA NONBTAT007482
Source: RNAcentral
AGUGUCAUGUCCCUCUUUUCAUGUUCAUCUUGAAGACUUUCUCACAUGGCAACAUAUAACCUUCAUGUGAAAAUGGGUUUUAGAGUAGUAAAGGAACAAUAGAUCAUAUUUACAUGAAUUAUAUGUGUAGCAGGACACUGAGAUUGUGUCCUGUACAUGCCUGGGAGUUAAUAUUGUAUUGCUUUCAAACUUUUUCAGAGUAUUUUUCCUCAUUUGAACUGUCUUCUUUGGAUAAAUUCCCAGUACUGGAAUGGAUUUGCCAAAGGUUUCAAACUGUGCUUCCCAGGACUUUGGCUAUUAUCAAGGCUGGCACCCCCCUAAAACGAAUCUCCUCAGUUUUAGUCAACUGCAUUUAUUGAACAUCACAUUUGUGUUCAUUUUGUGUGUGUGUGUGUGCAUAUAUGCGAGUGCAAAAAGUUUUCCCAAAUGUACUUGUCAGAACUUUAGUAUUCUAUCCCAGUAAUCU